RNAcentral lists this ribosomal RNA (1413 nucleotides) under Serratia marcescens. RNAcentral's name for it is "bacterial SSU rRNA". It matches the Rfam family "Bacterial small subunit ribosomal RNA". Lineage: Bacteria; Pseudomonadati; Pseudomonadota; Gammaproteobacteria; Enterobacterales; Yersiniaceae. The record is from RNAcentral.
GCUUGCUCCCUGGGUGACGAGCGGCGGACGGGUGAGUAAUGUCUGGGAAACUGCCUGAUGGAGGGGGAUAACUACUGGAAACGGUAGCUAAUACCGCAUAACGUCGCAAGACCAAAGAGGGGGACCUUCGGGCCUCUUGCCAUCAGAUGUGCCCAGAUGGGAUUAGCUAGUAGGUGGGGUAAUGGCUCACCUAGGCGACGAUCCCUAGCUGGUCUGAGAGGAUGACCAGCCACACUGGAACUGAGACACGGUCCAGACUCCUACGGGAGGCAGCAGUGGGGAAUAUUGCACAAUGGGCGCAAGCCUGAUGCAGCCAUGCCGCGUGUGUGAAGAAGGCCUUCGGGUUGUAAAGCACUUUCAGCGAGGAGGAAGGUGGUGAGCUUAAUACGCUCAUCAAUUGACGUUACUCGCAGAAGAAGCACCGGCUAACUCCGUGCCAGCAGCCGCGGUAAUACGGAGGGUGCAAGCGUUAAUCGGAAUUACUGGGCGUAAAGCGCACGCAGGCGGUUUGUUAAGUCAGAUGUGAAAUCCCCGGGCUCAACCUGGGAACUGCAUUUGAAACUGGCAAGCUAGAGUCUCGUAGAGGGGGGUAGAAUUCCAGGUGUAGCGGUGAAAUGCGUAGAGAUCUGGAGGAAUACCGGUGGCGAAGGCGGCCCCCUGGACGAAGACUGACGCUCAGGUGCGAAAGCGUGGGGAGCAAACAGGAUUAAAUACCCUGGGAGUCCACGCUGUAAACGAUGUCGAUUUGGAGGUUGUGCCCUUGAGGCGUGGCUUCCGGAGCUAACGCGUUAAAUCGACCGCCUGGGGAGUACGGCCGCAAGGUUAAAACUCAAAUGAAUUGACGGGGGCCCGCACAAGCGGUGGAGCAUGUGGUUUAAUUCGAUGCAACGCGAAGAACCUUACCUACUCUUGACAUCCAGAGAACUUUCCAGAGAUGGAUUGGUGCCUUCGGGAACUCUGAGACAGGUGCUGCAUGGCUGUCGUCAGCUCGUGUUGUGAAAUGUUGGGUUAAGUCCCGCAACGAGCGCAACCCUUAUCCUUUGUUGCCAGCGGUUCGGCCGGGAACUCAAAGGAGACUGCCAGUGAUAAACUGGAGGAAGGUGGGGAUGACGUCAAGUCAUCAUGGCCCUUACGAGUAGGGCUACACACGUGCUACAAUGGCGUAUACAAAGAGAAGCGACCUCGCGAGAGCAAGCGGACCUCAUAAAGUACGUCGUAGUCCGGAUUGGAGUCUGCAACUCGACUCCAUGAAGUCGGAAUCGCUAGUAAUCGUAGAUCAGAAUGCUACGGUGAAUACGUUCCCGGGCCUUGUACACACCGCCCGUCACACCAUGGGAGUGGGUUGCAAAAGAAGUAGGUAGCUUAACCUUCGGGAGGGCGCUUACCACUUUGUGAUUCAUGACUGGGGUGAAG